This is a long non-coding RNA of Lynx canadensis (Canada lynx), 2758 nucleotides long. RefSeq lists it as uncharacterized. Lineage: Eukaryota; Metazoa; Chordata; Mammalia; Carnivora; Felidae. The record is from RefSeq and is a predicted model, not a curated record. The transcript is spliced from 3 exons.
UAUUGCUUGUUAUAUUUAAAAAUCAUGAGAAAUAAUGAUCCAUGCUACAAGCAUCUUUGCAAUGAUUAUUAGAGAUUACAAUCAAGAAACAUAAAUAUUAAGUCAAUGAACUCUGGGGUCCCUUAUAACAGUUGCAAAAUUCCAAUAUUAUGACCUUGCUUUUUUUCUCGUGUCUGAGGAAUUGCCAGAGGGGAAGUAUCUCUAAAGGAGGAAUUAAGACCUCAGUCUCAGCUUGUGUUGCAACAUCUCUUUGUUCUUAGAGCUCGCUUUGUAGCAAACAGUGGGUUUCUCAGAAAUGAUUUCAAAUUUCAUGAAAGUACAUUAUAGGAACUCAGGAGAUUAGCCAGACAAAAGCUUAUAAGACAGAUGCAAAAUACAUAAAAAUAUUAAUUUAAGUAAUACAACAAAUUAAGCUUACUUACUAUCAGUGUAUAAGGAUAGACAUAUAUGCAAAUAUAUAAACUAUACCUCUUUAGUGCUUUGUAUGAUGUGUCUGAUUCUAUGACUAAAUAUAUAUCCACUAAUACACAUAUUUUUGAUCUGGUACAUUUCCAUUUUAAAAAUCGUUCCCCAAAUCCUAUAAUUACCGAGAUUGCUGACUAGUGCUAUUUGAAAACUCUUUGUAGUCCAGGUUACUUAUCAUCAUGUUGGAUAAAAAUAGGCAAAUGACAUCUGUUCCCUUUUAAGAAAUAGAGUUCCUGGUUUCAUGGAACCUAAUUAACUGGUUAGAGUAGCCAUCCAUAAAAACGGGAGCUAGCACUUCAGGGCCCAUUAGCAUCGCCCCAUGAAGCUGUUCUCCUUAGCUGGCUGAUUUUUCUCUUUCCAAGCUUAAGGAUCUUGACCCUGAAUAUGUGGUAGGUCCUAUUCAAGUUUCCUUUCACUUUUAAUCCUGUAAGUGGUUAGAGUAGGUUGCUAAUGAGGUUAAAUAAUGGACUGAAGUCCUAGGCAGAUUUGUCAUUAUUGUUGUUGUUCCAUGAGUUCAUACCUUGACUUGGUUAGUUCCAUCAAAAUUAAGAUAAGGGUCAGAUGUAGUUUAUAUCUCUAAGUUCUUUUCUAAAGAACACAUUCUAACUUAAAAACAGAUAUUCAGACACUGAAUUUUAAACUUGUUUCAUAGAAUACCAAUUUUCAAAAAAGUAUUCCUUGAAAAACAAAGGAAGGGAAGCUUCUAGAUUAACACCUGCAUGUUGCAUGUUGACUUUACAUGUCAAGGUCAACACUUGAAAGAUUGCAUGGAUGGCUCACUCAAGAAAACUUCUCAGCAUUAGCACAUUAAAGGUUCUGAGAUUUCUAGCAAACAAACCUGCUUCCCCUUAUUUAACCAGAAUAGUCAAGCUUAUCUGAUAAAGGAAGGUUUGUUUUAUUCUGAUAAAUAUAUAUUGCUAUUCCAUGGAAUUCCACAUUUUUAGAAAUAAGAGAUAUUAAAUCAGGUUUUGGAGGCCACAGUGUUCAAAUUGUAUUCAUUUUAUAUAUCUACAACAAAUCCCAUUUGGCAGAUAACUUGAGGGUCACAGAUUUUAUUCCAAGACUGGCUUACUGAACUUGCAGAACUGUAAGUGGCAAUAAGGUUUCCUUAUUUCCAUUCUAAAUCAUCUCAUUGUUACCAAGAAUUCUUGGUUAUUUGCUCGAAGAUAUUCUUCACUACUUUUUCUGGAGGCACAACAUACUUUCCACCAAAUUUGGAAUAGGUGAUUUAUGACUCUUGAUCUAAUAACAAAAUUUCAAACACAACCAAAAUGGAGCAAAGUUUACAUUUUUACCACAUGUAGAUUUCUAAAAUCUUAAUAACAAGAGGUAAAAUAUAACAGUAGGCAUUACAAAUGUCAUGAUGAGCCUUGCCAAGAUAAAUCCUCAUAGAGACAACAACAACAAAAAAGAAUAAAGAAACAAAUUGGAAGCAAAACUGAAUCCAUGAGUCCAGAUUCAGGUUGUACAUAGAAGUUACUGAAAGCUAAACUUUGAGUUCUAGAUAUUCAUACUCAAACUGAAAAUGCGGGCCAAGGUGUAGAGACCCUGCUCAUCAAAAAAUAAAGCUGGGGGGGGGGGGGGGGGAAGGUGAUGACACAAUCUCAAAUGAAAGAAUAAUUCCUAUCUUCCCAGAGCAAGAAUCUAUAAAACAUGAAUAUACAUAAAUGAAAUAAGCCCAAGGGGAGAUGAAACAGACUGAACCACAGACUGGAAAUAAAAAACAUCGUCAUUAAAAUCAAAGACUAAAACAACACCCAUGAGGUGAACCAAUUCUAAAGAUGAAGCAACACUGUAGAGAAGGAGAGAAUUAAUGAAUUUGACAAUUAUACUGAGAAUUCACUGAGAAUAUAUCACAAAGAGCAAAACAAACUUCUAAAGGAUAAGGGAAAGCAGUCUCAUUAAAAUUUCCAGGGUCUGCUCUAGAGUUCAAGCUUUCUCAAAGAUCAAUGCAAACUUCACUUACCAUUGGGUUUUGUUGAUCCAUCCUUCAAGAAGCUAAUUUAAAUUUCUCCUCGCCAAGUAAUAUGGAAUUGGAAACUUCCAUUUGAAUCCUCUCAGCCUGAUUUCAUCUAUGUCCUAUGUUGGAGACUAGAAAACUGGAUUGCAUAUUAAACUUACCCUGCUUUUUAUUAAACUUGUCUCAAAGCACAGAGCUCAAGUAAUUUACACCAGAAAUGCCAAGGGUGGAGAUGCCCCAGCUGCUGGUGAAGAUGCAUGAACAGAUUCCACCACCAACUGUACAUUUUGGAAAAUAAACUUUAUUAAAUCAAAAAUAAAAAUAAAAAAUAAA